UACGUAGGGGCCAAGCGUUGUCCGGAUUUAUUGGGCGUAAAGAGCUCGUAGGCGGCCUGUUGCGUCCGCUGUGAAAGCCCGGGGCUUAACCCCGGGUCGGCAGUGGAUACGGGCAGGCUAGAGGUAGGUAGGGGAGAAUGGAAUUCCCGGUGUAGCGGUGAAAUGCGCAGAUAUCGGGAGGAACACCGGUGGCGAAGGCGGCAUCCUGGACCAACACUGACGCUGAACAGCGAAAGCCAGGGGAGCAAACGGG
RNAcentral lists this ribosomal RNA (253 nucleotides) under uncultured bacterium. RNAcentral's name for it is "partial 16S ribosomal RNA". It matches the Rfam family "Bacterial small subunit ribosomal RNA", at positions 524 to 776 of the family's 1533-position model. The record is from RNAcentral.